This is a long non-coding RNA of Neopelma chrysocephalum (saffron-crested tyrant-manakin), 384 nucleotides long. RefSeq lists it as uncharacterized. The record is from RefSeq and is a predicted model, not a curated record. The transcript is spliced from 3 exons. Lineage: Eukaryota; Metazoa; Chordata; Aves; Passeriformes; Pipridae.
GUUUGUGAGGAAAAACAGGGAUUUGGGAAUGUUUGUGAGGAACAAGAGGGAUUUGGGAAUGUUUGUGAUGAAAAAGGGGGAUUUUGGGAAUGUUUGUGAGGAAAAACAGGUAUUUGGGAAUGUUCGUGAGGAACAAGAGGGAUUUUGGGAAUGUUUGUAAGGAAUAAUUGGAAUUUGGGAAUGUUUGUGAGGAACAAGAGGGAUUUUGAGAAUGUUUGUGAGGAAAAACGGAUUUUGGGAAUAUUUAUGAGGAACAAGAGGGAAUUUUGGGAAUGUUUUUGAGGAACAAGAGGGAUUUGGGAAUGUUUGCGAGGAACAAGAUGGAUUUUGGGAAUGUUUGUGAGGAACAAGAGGAUUCCGUGCCCGGAGUCACUUUUUCCAUGG